Molecule: ribosomal RNA, 252 nt
Filed under: uncultured bacterium
Lineage: Bacteria
Description: partial 16S ribosomal RNA
Rfam family: Bacterial small subunit ribosomal RNA
Source: RNAcentral
UACGAAGGGGGCUAGCGUUGUUCGGAUUUACUGGGCGUAAAGCGCACGUAGGCGGUUUGUUAAGUCAGGGGUGAAAUCCCGGAGCUCAACUCCGGAACUGCCUUUGAUACUGGCAGCUAGAGUCCGGAAGAGGUAAGUGGAACUCCUAGUGUAGAGGUGGAAUUCGUAGAUAUUAGGAAGAACACCAGUGGCGAAGGCGGCUUACUGGUCCGGAACUGACGCUGAGGUGCGAAAGCGUGGGGAGCAAACAGG